GAUGAACGCUGGCGGCGUGCCUAAUACAUGCAAGUCGAGCGAACGGACGAGAAGCUUGCUUCUCUGAUGUUAGCGGCGGACGGGUGAGUAACACGUGGAUAACCUACCUAUAAGACUGGGAUAACUUCGGGAAACCGGAGCUAAUACCGGAUAAUAUUUUGAACCGCAUGGUUCAAAAGUGAAAGACGGUCUUGCUGUCACUUAUAGAUGGAUCCGCGCUGCAUUAGCUAGUUGGUAAGGUAACGGCUUACCAAGGCAACGAUGCAUAGCCGACCUGAGAGGGUGAUCGGCCACACUGGAACUGAGACACGGUCCAGACUCCUACGGGAGGCAGCAGUAGGGAAUCUUCCGCAAUGGGCGAAAGCCUGACGGAGCAACGCCGCGUGAGUGAUGAAGGUCUUCGGAUCGUAAAACUCUGUUAUUAGGGAAGAACAUAUGUGUAAGUAACUGUGCACAUCUUGAUGGUACCUAAUCAGAAAGCCACGGCUAACUACGUGCCAGCAGCCGCGGUAAUACGUAGGUGGCAAGCGUUAUCCGGAAUUAUUGGGCGUAAAGCGCGCGUAGGCGGUUUUUUAAGUCUGAUGUGAAAGCCCACGGCUCAACCGUGGAGGGUCAUUGGAAACUGGAAAACUUGAGUGCAGAAGAGGAAAGUGGAAUUCCAUGUGUAGCGGUGAAAUGCGCAGAGAUAUGGAGGAACACCAGUGGCGAAGGCGACUUUCUGGUCUGUAACUGACGCUGAUGUGCGAAAGCGUGGGGAUCAAACAGGAUUAGAUACCCUGGUAGUCCACGCCGUAAACGAUGAGUGCUAAGUGUUAGGGGGUUUCCGCCCCUUAGUGCUGCAGCUAACGCAUUAAGCACUCCGCCUGGGGAGUACGACCGCAAGGUUGAAACUCAAAGGAAUUGACGGGGACCCGCACAAGCGGUGGAGCAUGUGGUUUAAUUCGAAGCAACGCGAAGAACCUUACCAAAUCUUGACAUCCUUUGACAACUCUAGAGAUAGAGCUUUCCCCUUCGGGGGACAAAGUGACAGGUGGUGCAUGGUUGUCGUCAGCUCGUGUCGUGAGAUGUUGGGUUAAGUCCCGCAACGAGCGCAACCCUUAAGCUUAGUUGCCAUCAUUAAGUUGGGCACUCUAAGUUGACUGCCGGUGACAAGCCGGAGGAAGGUGGGGGUGACGUCAAAUCAUCAUGCCCCUUAUGAUUUGGGCUACACACGUGCUACAAUGGACAAUACAAAGGGCAGCGAAACCGCGAGGUCAAGCAAAUCCCAUAAAGUUGUUCUCAGUUCGGAUUGUAGUCUGCAACUCGACUACAUGAAGCUGGAAUCGCUAGUAAUCGUAGAUCAGCAUGCUACGGUGAAUACGUUCCCGGGUCU
This 1372-nucleotide ribosomal RNA is filed under the name uncultured bacterium. Its description in RNAcentral is "bacterial SSU rRNA". It matches the Rfam family "Bacterial small subunit ribosomal RNA", at positions 28 to 1381 of the family's 1533-position model. The record is from RNAcentral.